Non-coding RNA from Acanthosepion pharaonis, 114 nucleotides. Lineage: Eukaryota; Metazoa; Mollusca; Cephalopoda; Sepiida; Sepiidae. The record is from the annotation of a GenBank genome assembly.
UUGCAACCACAUCACUUUGAAACACCGGUUCCCUUACGACUAGAGAAGUUAAGCAACAUCAAACCUGAUCAGUAUUUAGAUGGGUGACCACUUGGGAAUACCAGGUGCUGUAAU